Molecule: transfer RNA, 77 nt
Filed under: Chitinophaga filiformis
Lineage: Bacteria; Pseudomonadati; Bacteroidota; Chitinophagia; Chitinophagales; Chitinophagaceae
Description: tRNA_Pro_CGG
Rfam family: tRNA
About the family: Transfer RNA (tRNA) molecules are approximately 80 nucleotides in length.
Source: RNAcentral
CGGGAUGUAGCGCAGCCCGGUAGCGCGCUUCGUUCGGGACGAAGAGGCCGCAAGUUCGAAUCUUGUCAUCCCGACGA